GACUGGUCCAUCGCGUUGGGGACUGGUCCAUCGCGUUGGGGACUGGUCCAUCGCGUUGGGGACUGGUCCAUCGCGUUGGGGACUGGUCCAUCGCGUUGGGGUCUGGUCCAUCCCGUUGGGGACUGGUCCAUCGCGUUGGGGUCUGGUCCAGACCGUCCUGUUGGGGUCUGGUCCAGACCCCCUCCCCUCCCCUCCUUUUAUAACCGUAGUAACGCUGUACCUCUGGGUCGGCCCCCCCCCUCUGGGGCCUCUCCCGGCCUAUCAGAGGGUAGCGAUGGGGAGGGCCUCUCCCGGCCUAUCAGAGGGGAGCGAUGGGGAGGGCCUCUCCCGGCCUAUCAGAGGGUAGCGAUGGGGAGGGCCUCUCCCGGCCAAUCAGA
This is a long non-coding RNA of Gadus macrocephalus (Pacific cod), 377 nucleotides long. RefSeq lists it as uncharacterized. The transcript is spliced from 2 exons. Lineage: Eukaryota; Metazoa; Chordata; Actinopteri; Gadiformes; Gadidae. The record is from RefSeq and is a predicted model, not a curated record.